ACUGAGCUUAACUAACCUUAAAUUUUCACAAAUUUUUCUCGGCAAACUGUGCAUGUUUUAUUUGUUUUUUUAAUGUGAAAAAUAUUUAAGAAUAUGUAGGAAAGUAAGAUACACAUAGGAAAACAAAUAUUGAUAGUAUCAAUGUAAUAAUAAUCGUAGAAUAAAUCAUUUUCCAGUGAAAGACUCACGACAAGUGCAUCCGCCAUGACACCUCAAAAUUCAAUUGAAAAUUAUUUAUUCUACGAUUAUUGCUAAUCAAUCUUAGUACUAUCAAUCUUUGUUUUCUUAUGCAUAUCUUACUUUUCUACAUAUUCUUAAAUAUUUUUCACAUGGAAAAAACGAAUAAAACAUGCAUAGUUUGCCGAGGAAAAUUUGAGAGAAUUUGAGGUUAGUAAAGUCCCGCCUUAAUUCAACGGGAACAAGAAUAAAAUUAAUCAACGCAGUUAUUGUUGUCAUUGUCAGUCGUGCAUGAACAAUUUUGUAAUCUAUAAAAAGUGAUUUUUUUGGUGAAUAAACAUUAAAUCAACAGUGUUUCUAAUGAUAAAAAAAAUAAAAUGUGCUACAGAUGACAAUGUAGCUCUUGCUAAACGAUUGGUCAUUGUUGUGAAGUGAUAAAGAAAUGACAGUAAAAAUAUUAUAAAAUGUGACGAUUGACAAGAAUGCUAAAAAAGACGCCGUGACUGUGGAAGAUCAGCGAAAGGACAGUCUAUAAAACCGUGACUGUAGUAAUAAAAGGAAUUUAUUAAUUUUUUUUAUCAUUCUGUUCGUAAGAACAAAAGUAUUCACCGUACAUUUUAUUUCUCUACAUACAUGAGAUAAUAUUUGUUAAAUAGUCUAUUACGUGUUUAAAGUUGACUACUGUGAGGUAAAUUUGAUUCAACUGCAGUAACCUUUUUUUUUUUUAUUUGAGACUACAUUUUACGCUUCUGUUUUUCUCACGUUAUUGAAGUAAAAGUUUAAAGUAAAGUCGACAUUACUUCUCAAUAAAAAAUAAUUGAAAAAAGGCUUUUACCUAAGUACUUGCUCCGGUGAAAUAGCACCAGCACUACCGCUGCUUGUAUGUGCUCGAUGUCUAUAAGGGGUUGUGUGGGACGAGUGAUGAUGAGGUGCACUCGGUGGCCUCUCUACAAUUGUAUAACUAGUUCCAGGGGGGCUGUAGUACCCUCGGUUCUGACCACUUUGAUGCCUGCUAUUUCCACCAAUGGGUUCCAAGUCUUCUGCUUCAUAACAACCUGCACUGCCACCACCUCCACUUCUCAAGAAGUUGUUGCUACUUCGUAGGAAGUGCGAAGAACUCCCGCCACCCCAUUGUAACUCCUGCAGCUCUGAACCGUAGUCCUCUGUGCUGCUUGCCAUCUUAUUCGUGGGUCAAACCUGAAAAUUAAGUAUCUUCUUGAUUUUUCAUUCAAAAUAUACUUGGUUACCAUUAUGAUACAAUGAUGGAGUAUAAAAGAAGAGUCACCUUUUUUCUGAUGAUAAAAGGUACAGGUUAUAAUGAGAAAUCUAUGUGGUGAGAUGACAACUCUUUCUUCAAUUUGAUUAUACAAAAAUGUAGACAAAGAGGCUCAAGUAUAAAAUAACUUAAGAGAUAAUGCAUUUAGCAUGUAACUAGAGAAUCCGAUUCUAUUUAAGGUGUAUGCAUGGAGUAGGAGAUCUCACUGGUUACUGUUUUUGAGGAUAGAUUAACAUGUAAAGAAUACUGAUAUCCAAGAAGAGUGAAAAAAAGUGGUAUUUUCUGGGAGUUUCACGAAAUACUAUACGGUGUUGAAGACCUUAUUCUUUUUUUCCCUAUCAAUCUAUAGGUGAUGGAAACUGACAAGCAGGAGGUCAAUGGAGACUUGCCGUGACGCCGAUAUGCCAAAUCUCAGAUCAUGAUCUUUACGAAGCUCGUACUGGUAAUUGGAUGACUUCCUGCUGUUUCCACCUACGUCCGUUGGUAAAUGGCAAUUGUAGAAUAUGUAACCUUGACAGUGAUAACAAUCUUUUGACUGAACAGCAAUAAUUGAGUAGGUGUUUCUUUCCCAUUCAACCCUUUCGCCAACAUAUGCGUAUUGUUGAUUUAUUGAUUAUUGGGACGAUAAAUUAUUUUAGGUAUUUGUCAAGUGCAAGUGAUGACCAAUUGAUACAAGCAAGCAUUGAAGAAAAGCUUAGACAUUUGCUACUGGGUCACAUUCCUUAAGUAGAGUGUUUAUAGUGUGGUCUGUCUUCGAGCACGAGUUCUCUCGUGGGAAUUAACCACGUGUUCUACCUCUUAAACUUAGCGACGUGAAAUCAAUGAUGUUUCAAAGUAUACAGGCUGAAAUAAAAGUUGAGGUUACUCAAUGAGAUCACGAAUGGAAAAAAUUGAUAAAAUAUUUCUUAGGUAUCGCGUGUAUUCGAGAAGGUUGUAACGUCCAAGCUGACUGCAGUAGCAAUAUUUCACGAACAUCCGGGUGCUUCCUCUGUCUCUCUUGUAUUUUAGCUUCUAGUUUGAGUGCACACGAUUAGUAAGCACCAGGUGCAUUGUAAAAUCUUCAUAUCCCAUGUAUGUUACGUUUUUCUCUAUAUUAUUACUUAUGCUUUUAGCAUCAACUUUUGGGGUUUUCAUACAAUGUUAUAUAAAUUAUAAUUCCAUUUUUGUUGCUCAUCAUUUACAGUCCAUUUUAAUUCUAAAAACAACCUAGACUCAUUUGAAUUUUAACUAUUGUAUUAUCAUGUGAAAAGAAAAAAUUUAUAAUCAAGUUCAAUCCUAUAUUAAAUACAAAAAAAGGUAGUUUGUUGAAAGGAUUGUUCAUGAAGAAUAAAUCAUUUAUAUCUUUAAUCGCUAUUUAAAUAUAAUAUAUGACUUAAUGUGGAAAAAAUAUCAAAGUGCUCCAUAUUAUUAGUUUAUUUUAUAUGUGAUAAAGUAUAAAUUCAUUACUGAUAAACUGUUAGAUAUUUGUGAUUAGUUUCCAUUAUCAUUGUUGUUAGUUUACUGUAUGUGACGAUCGAUAUAAUAAUAACAGCUCCUUGAUUGAGAGAAUUUCAUUUUGGUUGAGAUAUUUGAUAUAUAGUUUGUGCUUGUUUGUGGUUUAGAAUCGUCCUCUUCUAUUUUAAGGUCGCUAUUGAUUCCUACUCUAUGUUGAAUCGACAUAUAAUGCAGAAUCUCCGAGUCUUAUUAAUUCUUCAGAUCUUCGUAGCCUUUAGGGUUUUGAACAAUCAAUCUCCCUCUUUUUUCUCUCGUCAGAAUCUUGAUGAAAAAAAAUACAAUAGAAAAAUAAGGCAAAAAUGUUACGUAAAAUUUGAUGAGAGUAAAAUAACAAUAGUUUAAGAUUUAUUACUUUGACAAUCUCAUUAAUUUUCUGUCACAGAUUCGAUUGAAUGAAAAUAUUAGCUCGUUACUCUAUAAAUUGAAUAAAUGUCUCAAUCACAAGCAUGUGAAAGGCUUCAUUUGACGUCUAAUCUUUCUUAUUUAUUUGUUUUGUUCAUGAAAAGAUUGUUUCUAUUUUCGGUCUUUAGGAAAGAUAGAAGAAGUAAGAAAGGAAAAUUUUUUAAAAUUGUUAUGUCAUUUAAAAAUAAAUAAAAAUAGAAAAAAAAAAGUGUGAAUUAAAUUUUCUUUAAGUGGAUAUGGAUGUAAGAUGGAAUGAAAAAGCAAUCAGGGUCAUAUUUGAAAGAGACAGACAAGCCAAUUUCCUGUCACGUAUCAUUUCUAUCUCUUCGUGCGUACCACAAUCUACCAAUCUUUGACAUUAUGAUAAAUGUUUAGAACUAACUGUCUGAAAAUUUUGCGUGUUAAAUAUCAAAUUGUUUUUCUUUUUCACGUU
Chelonus insularis is the source of this 3782-nucleotide long non-coding RNA. RefSeq lists it as uncharacterized. The transcript has 8 exons. Lineage: Eukaryota; Metazoa; Arthropoda; Insecta; Hymenoptera; Braconidae. The record is from RefSeq and is a predicted model, not a curated record.